Molecule: ribosomal RNA, 459 nt
Filed under: uncultured bacterium
Lineage: Bacteria
Description: partial 16S ribosomal RNA
Rfam family: Bacterial small subunit ribosomal RNA
Source: RNAcentral
CCUACGGGAGGCAGCAGUGAGGAAUAUUGGUCAAUGGGAGAGAUCCUGAACCAGCCAAGCCGCGUGAGGGAAGACGGCCCUAUGGGUUGUAAACCUCUUUUGUCGGAGAACAAAACCCGGGACGUGUCCCGGACUGCGUGUAUCCGAAGAAAAAGCAUCGGCUAACUCCGUGCCAGCAGCCGCGGUAACACGGAGGAUGCGAGCGUUAUCCGGAUUUAUUGGGUUUAAAGGGUGCGUAGGCGGUCCGUUAAGUCAGCGGUAAAAUUGCGGGGCUCAACCCCGUCGAGCCGUUGAAACUGGCAGACUGGAGUGGGCGAGAAGUACGCGGAAUGCGCGGUGUAGCGGUGAAAUGCAUAGAUAUCGCGCAGAACUCCGAUUGCGAAGGCAGCGUACCGGCGCCAGACUGACGCUGAGGCACGAAAGCGUGGGGAUCGAACAGGAUUAGAUACCCGUGUAGUC